This 1474-nucleotide long non-coding RNA is filed under the name Betta splendens (Siamese fighting fish). RNAcentral describes it as "lncRNA (ENSBSLG00000018511.1)". The record is from RNAcentral. Lineage: Eukaryota; Metazoa; Chordata; Actinopteri; Anabantiformes; Osphronemidae.
AAUCGACAGCAGAACCCUCUUCCUGCAAACAAACACUAGUAAAUGACUAACAACUAACUAUCGCCAACAUCUAAAAGGUGGACCGUGAACUCAUCACGCGCGAUUCCACCUGCUGUCAAGCCUCACUUCCGCUACAAACAGCCCGCUCUCGCAAACCCAAACGCUCAUUUAAGCUAGUCAUACAAAGAAAAUGAAUCACGUCAGACAAAAGGACGAUACAUACAAACACACGCUGAUAAAAGUUCGGUAGGUACAAACCUGUCCUGCAGAACCACAAGCACCCACAGCACCGUCAGACGACGCUUCCUGCACUGGUCACGUGACUCGGUCCCGCUGACAUCACAGGCUGCUUAGAGCCUGAUCGUCUCCCGCUUUAUAACAGAUUUCAACACACACCUGACGGACAGCUGUGAAGCCUGCGAUCACGCCGUGGUGCCCUCCUAUGAAGGCCCGCCACUGUGAAACGCAAACAGUAAACAGGAUGGAGCGUCCUGUGUGUGUGAGGGGUCUUUGGGUGAUUGAGGCUCUGUGAGCAGGGGAGGGGUCGGCCGCUAAGGAGAGAAUGAGCCCAUGCUGCCCAGCUGUCACUGCUAUAACUUCAGACUGGAGAGACCACAGGAGAAGAUGAAAACCUGUCGUAGCGUGUUCUCCCCUUUGUUUCUGAACGCUGCGCUGCACACAAAACAUCCCACACAGACAACAGCCACCCGCCUCACAUUCCAGUGGAGAGAGGUGGUGUUUCCAGAGGUGGCAUGUGGAGCUUUUAAACCGGGAUGACUGAGGACAUGGAGAAAAAACAACAAUGCGCAGGCUUUUCAGCAAAGACCAGACAACAGAACACACAAUGCCUUGGAGCCGACUAAAGGAGCUUUCAGAACGUCAGUUGUUUUUGUGUGGUGGAUGAAAGGAUGUUGGUAUUUGGAGCUGUUUCCUGAUGUUAUUACUGGAGCACUUUUGUUGAUAAAUACCUUUAAAUAUGUGUCAUGUGUGAUUUCAUUCCACUGAGAUACUUCAUGUUCCUGCUCAGCGUGAUAAGAACAAGAACUGCUGAUUCCCAAACAUUUACCGUGAUUUUUAUUAUUUUUUCGCUAAUUAGGUCCUGAUAUCAUAUUGUGUCACUCAGUACAAAAUGGAAACAAAACAGCGAUAGAGCGGCUUUGUCAUCACAUGCGGUUGGUUUUUAAGGGGACAUCAUGACCUAGUGUGAUUUCGUGUCAUCAGGUUAAAGCGUUGCGCAGGCCGAGAUGGUCGGAAAUUCCGAUCUCGCAGGCUCAUAAAAUCCUUUCAACCCCCUCGGGAUUAUCUGAAAAAUGCAACGCUAUGUCUCAUAGUGUGCUUCCAAACCUCUGGAUUAGAAACCACAUGCUGGAUUUCCUUCAGCAGCUCGUGUCCAGUCUAACGAUCUGGCUGAAGUCAAGCAAACCGCAUCGCGAAUGCUGCUUUACUGCACAUUUUUAUCUGCGAAAACCUUUAC